RNAcentral lists this ribosomal RNA (384 nucleotides) under uncultured bacterium. RNAcentral's name for it is "bacterial SSU rRNA". It matches the Rfam family "Bacterial small subunit ribosomal RNA", at positions 28 to 416 of the family's 1533-position model. The record is from RNAcentral.
GACGAACGCUGGCGGCGUGCUUAACACAUGCAAGUCGAGCGGAAAGGCCCUUCGGGUACUCGAGCGGCGAACGGGUGAGUAACACGUGAGUAACCUGCCCUUCACUUUGGGAUAACCCUCGGAAACGGGGGCUAAUACCGGAUAUGACAUGGGGAUCGCAUGGUCUUGUGUGGAAAGUUUUUCGGUGGGGGAGUGGCUCGCGGCCUAUCAGCUUGUUGGUGGGGUGGAUGGCCUACCAAGGCGACGACGGGGAGCCGGCCUGAGAGGGCGACCGGCCACACUGGGACUGAGACACGGCCCAGACUCCUACGGGAGGCAGCAGUGGGGAAUAUUGCACAAUGGGCGGAAGCCUGAUGCAGCGACGCCGCGUGAGGGAUGACGGCC